ACUACCUCAUCCUGAUGCUCCCUAAAAUGAAUGAGACAAGGCUAAUGAAGCAGUCUCCGCCCCCUGCUCCAGUUGGUCAAUGCCCUGAGCUGGAGGACUGUGGCCUGGAGACCACUGCGGUCAAGAGGGGCUGCAUUUCCACCAAGGCCGCUCAGGUCAGCGGUGCCACCGGUGGGUGGGUAGCCAGUGUGGAUGGAGUUAAUACCUACAUCUGUGGUUGAUGACCUGUAUAUGGCCAAUGCAGCCAUGUACAGGUCAUCGGUGCCAUCGGUGGGUGGGGAACUUGUUUGGAUGGAGUUAACAUCUACAUCUGGGGUCUCAUCAUGGCCUGUACAGGUCAUGAUUGCCAGAAUGAGACCAUCCUCCUGAGUUCUGCCCCAGGCCAGGUGCAGAGCCAGGAGGUGGAGGAUGCCGGGAACACCGCUUCC
This is a long non-coding RNA of Cyprinodon tularosa, 428 nucleotides long. RefSeq lists it as uncharacterized. Lineage: Eukaryota; Metazoa; Chordata; Actinopteri; Cyprinodontiformes; Cyprinodontidae. The transcript has 4 exons. The record is from RefSeq and is a predicted model, not a curated record.